Molecule: transfer-messenger RNA, 369 nt
Filed under: Bacteroidota bacterium
Lineage: Bacteria; Pseudomonadati; Bacteroidota
Rfam family: transfer-messenger RNA
About the family: Bacterial tmRNA, also known as 10Sa RNA or SsrA, is named for its dual tRNA and mRNA-like properties. Its role is to liberate the mRNA from a stalled ribosome. To accomplish this part of the tmRNA is used as a reading frame that ends in a translation stop signal.
Source: RNAcentral
GGGGCUGAUCGGAUUUGACAGCGUGAGUUGUAGAGUGUAAGCAUGUCGAGUGUUGUAGGAAUGACUCGUUAAUCCCAACUUACAUAGCCAAUAAACGGCAACGAUUAUAAUUACGCACUAGCUGCUUAAUUUUAGAAAUUAAACAGGUGCUGGUUCACGGAAGUCCUCCCGAUACUUCCGAUACGAACCAUCGUGAAUCCGGGAUAGGGUGAGCAUUUUCCCACUGUUCAGCCGAAAUAACAGGGAAUAAGGGUUAAGUUGGUUAGCCGUGUACCUUACUUAAUCACGAAAAUCAAACAUAGGCUAAGCAUGUAGAAAGCAUUUUAUUGCCAUGUUUGGACGAGGGUUCAAUUCCCUCCGGCUCCACAA